UACGGGGGGGGCAAGCGUUGUUCGGAAUUACUGGGCGUAAAGGGCUCGUAGGUGGCCAACUAAGUCAGACGUGAAAUCCCUCGGCUUAACCGGGGAACUGCGUCUGAUACUGGAUGGCUUGAGUUUGGGAGAGGGAUGCGGAAUUCCAGGUGUAGCGGUGAAAUGCGUAGAUAUCUGGAGGAACACCGGUGGCGAAGGCGGCAUCCUGGACCAACACUGACACUGCGGAGCGAAAGCCAGGGGAGCAAACGGG
Molecule: ribosomal RNA, 253 nt
Filed under: uncultured bacterium
Lineage: Bacteria
Description: partial 16S ribosomal RNA
Rfam family: Bacterial small subunit ribosomal RNA
Source: RNAcentral